UUCAAUUAAACCCAGCUAUAUUAUAAUACCUUUUGCUUUAGUUUUCCUUGCAAGAAAUAAACAAAACACAUCUAAACUAAACCUAACCUCGCUUUUGGCCAAUCAUUCAUCUCCGUGUCAAAUAAUUUCGACAGUCGAAAUUAUAAUAUCAACACCCUUUUUAAAGUCGCUAUUAAUUUCGAUAGUCGCUAUUUCAUGACGUCACUUCGUUAGUUCAACUAAAAUCCACAAGGCUCGCACAAUCGCAUUUCAACCGUCGCCAUAUUGAAAGCGACUUGUUUAGUGUCGAAAUUUGAUUUAGAAUCAGGGCCCUGGUUGAAAAGAAGACAUUGAUUUCAUUACUAAGGCACCCAGGAGAAGGGCAUGGCCCUAACCCUCAAAUAUGAGUAUUAUAGAAAAUUAACAGUUACCCAGGCAACCAUCCAAUGAGAAUCGUAGGAAAAUUAACAGUUCCACAGACAAUCAUCCAGUGACCACAUUGUCUCUUUUUGGACAUACCAUCUGACGCUUUCUGAAGAAGAUCUUGGGUUGUAAAUAACCCAGGACAGCACCGGAAGAAGCCGUCAGACCACAGGCUAAAUUCCUUAUUAAAAUCUAUAGCUUGCCUAUAAACAGAGACAGACUAUUUUUAUAUAAAAUAACUUCAUUAGUUCUAAAAUGUAGAUCUUGAAUUGUGACCAUAAUAAAAUGAGAAAAUAAAGUGUUUAUACUGAA
Molecule: long non-coding RNA, 714 nt
Organism: Diabrotica virgifera virgifera (western corn rootworm)
Lineage: Eukaryota; Metazoa; Arthropoda; Insecta; Coleoptera; Chrysomelidae
Exons: 2
Source: RefSeq, a predicted model, not a curated record